CUCGGAGUUUGAUCCUGGCUCAGAUUGAACGCUGGCGGAAUGCUUUACACAUGCAAGUCGAACGGUAGAGGGGGCAACCCCUCGAGAGUGGCGAACGGGUGAGUAAUACAUCGGAACGUGCCCAGUCGUGGGGGAUAACGUAGUGAAAUUACGCUAAUACCGCAUACGAUCUAAGGAUGAAAGCGGGGGAUCGCAAGACCUCGCGCGAUUGGAGCGGCCGAUAUCAGAUUAGGUAGUUGGUGAGGUAAAGGCUCACCAAGCCAACGAUCUGUAGCUGGUCUGAGAGACGACCAGCCACACUGGAACUGAGACACGGUCCAGACUCCGUACGGGAGGCAGCGAGUGGGGUAACUUUUGGACAAGUGGGCGCAAG
This 373-nucleotide ribosomal RNA is filed under the name uncultured Limnohabitans sp. RNAcentral describes it as "bacterial SSU rRNA". It matches the Rfam family "Bacterial small subunit ribosomal RNA", at positions 1 to 381 of the family's 1533-position model. The record is from RNAcentral. Lineage: Bacteria; Pseudomonadati; Pseudomonadota; Betaproteobacteria; Burkholderiales; Comamonadaceae.